AAACCUUGCAAAGCUCUCCAUUUCACCCAGAGUAAAAGCUGAAAUCCUUACUGUGAUCAAUAAGCCCUGUAUGAUCUUUAAGCUCCCUCCCUUCUCUCCCCUGGGCUUAUUCUGUUCUAUCCACCCAAGAUUCCUUUGCUGUUGCUUGAACACUCCAGACAUACUGCUGCCUCAGGGCCUUUGAAAAUACAUCACAUGACUAACUUUGGCAUCUCCUUCAGUCUUCAGUCACAUAUGCCUUUACAGUGCGAUGGCACUGUAGAAGUGUAGGUGAUAUCACAACUUCCUCAAUUCUUUGACUUGUCACAAUGAGCAUAAAUUACUUUUGUAAUUUUAUAGGACACUCAUGGAGGGAAAUCUAUACACAGAAACACACACACACAGGGAGAAAGCCAUGUGAAGACAGGCAGAGACUGGGGUAAUGCAGCUACAAGGGAAUGUCAGAGAUUGCUAGCAAACACCAGAAGCUGGAAGAGGCAAUUAAGGAUUGCUCCCUAGAGCUUUUAGAGGGAGGACGGCUCUGCCACCUGCCUUGUUCUUGGACUCCUAGCCUCCAGAAUUAGGUCACCUGUUGGGCAAUAUCACCAUAGACUGAAUACAGAAGCAGAUAUUAGCCUCCAGCCUCCUGCUCAUCUGGACACUAGAGAGAUUUCUAAAAAGAUAUAAGGAACAUUUAUGAAUGACCAGAAGGAAGUAUUAAUCAAACGAAAUGUUUCCAAUCCUAUAACAGGACACCUUGAUUUAAUCCCAGGAAUGGGAUUUUGCAUAAAAGAAGAAAGCUCAGGAAUGAUAAAUUUACACACCAUGGAUCUAGAAGGGAGUCUAUAACCCCAGAAUCACCAUUAUUUUGGGUGAUCCAUAUGGCUAUCAAUUAAAGUGCUACCUGAGUGCUGUUCAACUUCUUGAGAUGGAUGAAAAAGGAAUGAAAGGAGACAUAGCAAUCUUCAACUCCGCUCCUUUACUUUUGAAUAAGAGGUGAUGGAAGGCAAGGUCAGAGAGAUCUGGGUUCAAAUCUCAUGAUUUAACUGCUAUAUAACCUUGGCCAAAUUAUUUAAACUUUGUGUCUGUUUUUACUUAGCAAUAUAAAGACACUGGUCAUACCCACCACUCAGAAUUUCAAUCAGAACUAAAUGAAAUAAUAUAUGCAAAGUGCUUAAUAUAGUACACCUGGCAUGGAGUGGUAACUCAAUAAAUAGAUCUUUUGUUAUAA
RNAcentral lists this long non-coding RNA (1210 nucleotides) under Homo sapiens (human). RNAcentral's name for it is "PREDICTED lncRNA (TCONS_00246566)". The record is from RNAcentral. Lineage: Eukaryota; Metazoa; Chordata; Mammalia; Primates; Hominidae.